Molecule: ribosomal RNA, 492 nt
Filed under: uncultured bacterium
Lineage: Bacteria
Description: partial 16S ribosomal RNA
Rfam family: Bacterial small subunit ribosomal RNA
Source: RNAcentral
AGUGAACGCUGGCGGUAGGCCUAACACAUGCAAGUCGAACGGCAGCACAGUAAGAGCUUGCUCUUACGGGUGGCGAGUGGCGGACGGGUGAGGAAUACAUCAGAAUCUACUUUUUCUUGGGGGAUAACGUAGGGAAACUUACGCUAAUACCGCAUACGACCUACGGGUGAAAGCAGGGGAUCUUCGGACCUUGCGCGAUUGAAUGAGCCGAUGUCGGAUUAGCUAGUUGGCGGGGUAAAGGCCCACCAAGGCGACGAUCCGUAGCUGGUCUGAGAGGAUGAUCAGCCACACUGGAACUGAGACACGGUCCAGACUCCUACGGGAGGCAGCAGUGGGGAAUAUUGGACAAUGGGCGCAAGCCUGAUCCAGCCAUACCGCGUGGGUGAAGAAGGCCUUCGGGUUGUAAAGCCCUUUUGUUGGGAAAGAAAAGCAGCAUGUUAAUACCCCGCUGUUCUGACGGUACCCAAAGAAUAAGCACCGGCUAACUUCGUG